CCUACGGGAGGCAGCAGUGGGGAUAUGCACAUGGGCGCAAGCUGAUGCAGCACGCCGCGUGCGGGAUGACGGCUUCGGGUGUAAACCGCUUUCAGUCCGACGAAGCGCAAGUGACGGUAGGAACAGAAGAAGGACCGGCCAACUACGUGCCAGCAGCCGCGGUGAUACGUAGGGUCCGAGCGUUGUCCGGAAUUAUUGGGCGUAAAGGGCUUGUAGGCGGUUUGUCACGUCGGAAGUGAAAACUCAGGGCUCAACCCUGAGCGUGCUUCCGAUACGGGCAAACUAGAGGAAUGCAGGGGAGAAUGGAAUUCCUGGUGGAGCGGUGGAAUGCGCAGAUAUCAGGAGGAACACCGGUGGCGAAGGCGGUUCUCUGGGCAUUUCCUGACGCUGAGAAGCGAAAGCGUGGGGAGCAAACAGGCUUAGAUACCCUGGUAGUCCACGCCGUAAACGGUGGGCACUAGGUGUGGGGAACAUUCCACGUUCUCCGUGCCGAAGCUAACGCAUUAAGUGCCCCGCCUGGGGAGUACGGCCGCAAGGCUAAAACUCAAAGGAAUUGACGGGGGCCCGCACAAGCGGCGGAGCAUGCGGAUUAAUUCGAUGCAACGCGAAGAACCUUACCUGGGUUUGACAUAUACCGGAAAGCUGCAGAGAUGUAGCCCCCGCAAGGUCGGUAUACAGGUGGUGCAUGGCUGUCGUCAGCUCGUGUCGUGAGAUGUUGGGUUAAGUCCCGCAACGAGCGCAACCCUCGUCCUAUGUUGCCAGCGGAAUGCCGGGGACUCAUAGGAGACUGCCGGGGUCAACUCGGAGGAAGGUGGGGAUGACGUCAAGUCAUCAUGCCCCUUAAGUCCAGGGCUUCACGCAUGCUACAAUGGCUGGUACAAAGGGCUGCGAAACCGCAAGGUCGAGCGAAUCCCAAAAAGCCAGUCUCAGUUCGGAUUGGGGUCUGCAACUCGACCCCAUGAAGUCGGAGUCGCUAGUAAUCGCAGAUCAGCAACGCCGCGGUGAAUACGUUCCCGGG
This 1018-nucleotide ribosomal RNA is filed under the name uncultured bacterium. Its description in RNAcentral is "bacterial SSU rRNA". It matches the Rfam family "Bacterial small subunit ribosomal RNA", at positions 338 to 1378 of the family's 1533-position model. The record is from RNAcentral.